AUCCUUAAGGGAUGAUUUGUCUCAGCUUUUGAUCAAUUGUCACAGGAGGUAGCCACUGUAGCUACGUGGAGAAGAUGCAGAAGUUUGAGCAGAAGAAGCUAUCAUGCAUCAAGAAGCAUCAAUGGCAAGGAGUCCUUCUUGGAGUGCAAGUCAAGAGGGAUGGCUCAGAUUGGUGAAGCUUGGUGUAAAGGGAAGACUUAGAGGUAAUUGCAUGUUGGAUAUAGCAUUCGGUUAUCUCUCCUCUCUCUCUGGCCGAACCAGUUUUCU
Non-coding RNA from Arachis ipaensis, 267 nucleotides. Lineage: Eukaryota; Viridiplantae; Streptophyta; Magnoliopsida; Fabales; Fabaceae. The record is from RefSeq and is a predicted model, not a curated record.